This 313-nucleotide unclassified non-coding RNA is filed under the name Halopseudomonas salegens. Its description in RNAcentral is "Pseudomonas salegens Long range pseudoknot". The record is from RNAcentral. Lineage: Bacteria; Pseudomonadati; Pseudomonadota; Gammaproteobacteria; Pseudomonadales; Pseudomonadaceae.
ACGGAAGAGGGAGACUACAAGGUUAAACUACGUAACCUUAUCCGGUUUCUCUCUGAUGGGGACAAGGCCAAGGUAUCCUUGCGAUUCCGAGGCCGCGAAAUGGCGCAUCAGGAGCUGGGCAUGGAGCUGUUGAAACGGGUCGAAGCUGACCUGCUGGAAUACGGCACUGUGGAACAGCACCCGAAGAUGGAAGGUCGGCAGCUGAUGAUGAUCCUCGCACCCAAGAAGAAAAAGUAAUCUCCAGGGCAACGCCAGGCCUUGCGAUUACCUUAUUCACUCUUACGUGGAGUUACAUGAACAUGGCAAAGAUGAA